CUCCCCAAAGCGCCUUUCGAGGAUCUGGAUCCCUGCACGCGUACAGCGAAGGAGGUUUUCCUUGGACCCUUAGGAAGCCCACCCAGGGGAUCCCACGAAGCCCCCUCGCCCCAUUUCCCCGCGCAGGCAUCCCUGGGACUCUGUGGGUUCCGCGCGGAAAGUGGAUCAGGAUCCUCAGGAGCGUGUCCUGGCGGCCGGAUUAAGGCAGUGUCAGACUGACAGACAAGCUGAGAUACAAUCCAUCAAAAUUCAAUGACAGCGGCUGCGUGAAUCUUCCCAGUCAAAGGACCCAUUUUCAUGAUAGACAGCCCCCGUGGCUGGAGGCUCAACCCCCAGGGUGUGCCUAUACAGGCCAAAGACUGCCAGCAUUAGCACAGGGCCUUUCUUCACCUGCAGCAGAAUUCCCCAACCCACCAAGAAUUUGAGACCCAUCAGAUAUCCUCACCUGGUUUAGCCGGUCGGUUGAAGCUGUUCCUGGGAUUGUGGCCCCUAUUCCAUCCUGACAGCUUCUGGAAGCCACAGGAUUCCCUUUCCUCCCACUCUGAAAAAGGAGAUGGAGAAGACAGUCAGAACUCCAGGGGAUGGGGCACAAUUCCUCCCCAUUAGGGAUAGAAAUUAAAAUGUGUGAAAUGCGGAAUAUGCAUCAUUGAAUGAGCACACAUAGUUCACAUCAACGACCUCCAGCAGGGGAGAAACUGUUUAAAGGUAUGGAGUGUGGGAAACGUUUCGCUGAUAUUAGAAAACUUAGAACAAAUCAGCGGACUCACAUGGGCAGGAAAGGACUGCAAUGCAGGGAGUGUGGGAAGAACUUCAGUCAACAUGGACACUUAAGAUUACAUCAACGGACUCACACAAGGGAAAAAACU
Non-coding RNA from Podarcis muralis (Common wall lizard), 866 nucleotides. Lineage: Eukaryota; Metazoa; Chordata; Lepidosauria; Squamata; Lacertidae. The record is from RefSeq and is a predicted model, not a curated record.